RNAcentral lists this ribosomal RNA (993 nucleotides) under Gammaproteobacteria bacterium. RNAcentral's name for it is "partial 23S ribosomal RNA". It matches the Rfam family "Bacterial large subunit ribosomal RNA", at positions 1951 to 2925 of the family's 2925-position model. The record is from RNAcentral. Lineage: Bacteria; Pseudomonadati; Pseudomonadota; Gammaproteobacteria.
CUAAGGUAGCGAAAUUCCUUGUCGGGUAAGUUCCGACCUGCACGAAUGGCGUAAUGAUGGCCACACUGUCUCCACCCAAGGCUCAGUGAAAUUGAAGUUGCUGUUAAGAUGCAGUGUACCCGCGGCUAGACGGAAAGACCCCGUGAACCUUUACUAUAGCUUCACACUGGACUUUGACUGUACUUGUGUAGGAUAGGUGGGAGACUGUGAAAGCAUCGCGCCAGCGUUGCCGGAGUCAACCUUGAAAUACCACCCUGGUGCUGUUGAGGUUCUAACCCAGGUCCCUUGACGGGAUCGGGGACAGUGUGUGGUGGGUAGUUUGACUGGGGCGGUCUCCUCCUAAAGAGUAACGGAGGAGCACGAAGGUACCCUAAGGGCGGUUGGAAAUCGUCUGUAUUGUGUAAUGGCGUAAGGGUGCUUGACUGCGAGAGUGACGAUUCGAGCAGGAGCGAAAGCUGGUCAUAGUGAUCCGGUGGUUCUGUAUGGAAGGGCCAUCGCUCAACGGAUAAAAGGUACUCCGGGGAUAACAGGCUGAUACCGCCCAAGAGUUCACAUCGACGGCGGUGUUUGGCACCUCGAUGUCGGCUCAUCACAUCCUGGGGCUGAAGCAGGUCCCAAGGGUAUGGCUGUUCGCCAUUUAAAGUGGUACGCGAGCUGGGUUUAGAACGUCGUGAGACAGUUCGGUCCCUAUCUGCCGUGGGCGCAGGAGAUUUGCGAAGAGUUGCCCCUAGUACGAGAGGACCGGGGUGAACGAACCGCUGGUGUUCGGGUUGUCUCGCCAGAGGCAUUGCCCGGUAGCUAUGUUCGGACGGGAUAACCGCUGAAGGCAUCUAAGCGGGAAGCCUCCUUCAAGACUAGAUCUCCCUGAGAGCCCAAGCUUCGGCUUAGUCUCUCCUGAAGUGCCGUUGAAGACGACGACGUUGAUAGGCCGGGUGUGUAAGCGCUGUGAGGCGUUGAGCUAACCGGUACUAAUUGCACGUGAGGCUUGAUCGC